Molecule: ribosomal RNA, 463 nt
Filed under: uncultured bacterium
Lineage: Bacteria
Description: partial 16S ribosomal RNA
Rfam family: Bacterial small subunit ribosomal RNA
Source: RNAcentral
GACGAACGCUGGCGGCGUGCUUAACACAUGCAAGUCGAACGGUGAACCUCUUCGGAGGGGUUCAGUGGCGAACGGGCGAGUAACACGUGGGCAACAUGCUCCCGGCUCUGGGAUAACUACAAGAAAUAGGGGCUAAUACCGGAUGUUCACCGCUUCCCGCAUGGGUGGUGGUGAAAAGGGUUUCCGGCUGGGGAUGGGCCCGCGGCCUAUCAGCUUGGUGGUGGGGUAGUGGCCUACCAAGGCGACGACGGAUAGCCGGCCUGAGAGGGUGGACGGCCACACGAGUACUGAGAGAGGGCCCAGACGCCAACGGGAGGCAGUAGGGGGGAGUAUGGCGCAGUGGGCGGGAGCCUGACACGGCGACGCCGGGAGGGUGAUGACGGCCUUCGGGUUGUAAACCUCUGUCAGCAGAGACGAAGCGGAAGUGACGGUACCUGCAGAAGAAGCACCGGCCAACUACGUG